ACGGAAGUCUGGGGAAAAGCCGGGGAAGAGCAGAGGAAGAAGAAACGGUGGAGAGCAUGACUUCCAGCGCGAACUGGCGGCGGUUGUAGCGCAUGCGCACCGGCGGGGGCGACGGGACGGUUGCUGCCCAGUAGUCGGCAGCUGUGUAGUUUUGAGUAGACACUGCUCCUUGUUCCGAGAGAUUCACCUUUCAGUAACCUGCUGGACAAGAGACUGAAUGAGAAGAUUUGGCAAUUCAAAUUGAUGGGAAGAGCUGGUACAAAUAAUGAAAUAUCUGCAAGAAGCAACAGAAGCAUGAUAGUGAUAUUGUGGGUGAAUCAUUAAAAUCUGAGUACUUGACAACAGAGAAAGUAAGCUAGCUGAAACAGUGUGAGGAGGUGGGUCACUCUCCUGAAUCAUUUUUAUCUCAGCUGCUUGUGGAAUCCAACUUUGAAUUGAAUAUGUUGACCUGGAACUCAAAAGGGAAGAUAUAUAGUGUGUGACUCAAAUGUUGAAUUUAUUUCUAUCAAGUACCUGUCAGGAAAGAGAAUCAAUUUUGAAGCAACAAAUUUCAAAGAGCUGCAGAUGGCUUUCAAAAGGAAUUUGAAUUAAAUAGCAUUCAAUGUUUCAAAA
Oryctolagus cuniculus (rabbit) is the source of this 612-nucleotide non-coding RNA. NCBI's taxonomy places the organism in Eukaryota, Metazoa, Chordata, Mammalia, Lagomorpha, Leporidae. The record is from RefSeq and is a predicted model, not a curated record.